Molecule: unclassified non-coding RNA, 179 nt
Filed under: uncultured fungus
Lineage: Eukaryota; Fungi
Description: sequence contains ITS1
Source: RNAcentral
GUAUUUUGAAUUAUCUUAUUUGUAAUAUUUUUCAGACAAAGAGAUAAAAAAUUAGGUUGAUGUUUGGCCGAUCUCCAUAAAGAAGAUCGACUGACAUUGCACACAAGGUGGAUAUGGAUUUAAAAAGUGCCAUAAAAUACUUAUUAUGAAUGAUCCUUCCGCAAGUUCACCUACGGAAA